Molecule: long non-coding RNA, 529 nt
Organism: Homo sapiens (human)
Lineage: Eukaryota; Metazoa; Chordata; Mammalia; Primates; Hominidae
Source: Ensembl
GCAUUCCAGCUCAGCGGGUGGAAGGUAUAAAUUUCAGCUGCUCUCAGCCCUGCUGUGUUUUUCCAAAGCCUUCCAACAGCAACAUGAAGUUGGCAGCCUUCCUCCUCCUGUGAUCCUCAUCAUCUUCAGCCUAGAGGUACAAGAGCUUCAGGCUGCAGGAGACCGGCUUUUGGGGGCCCCUUUUUACAGAUGAGAAAAGUUCCAGAAAGACCCAGAGACAUAAUCAGGUACCUGCGUCGAGCUCUGCACAGGUGACUGGGACUGCAACCCCGGAGACCACUGUGUCAGCAAUGGGUGUGGCCAUGAGUGUGUUGCAGGGUAAGGACAGAUGAAGAGUUAUCUUAAGGAUCAUCUUUCCCUAAGAUCGUCAUCCCUUCCUGGAGUUCCUAUCUUCCAAGAUGUGACUGUCUGGAGUUCCUUGACUAGGAAGAUGGAUGAAAACAGCAAGCCUGUGGAUGGAGACUACAGGGGAUAUGGGAGGCAGGGAAGAGGGGUUGUUUCUUUUAAUAAAUCAUCAUUGUUAAAAGCA